Molecule: transfer RNA, 73 nt
Filed under: Neotoma lepida (desert woodrat)
Lineage: Eukaryota; Metazoa; Chordata; Mammalia; Rodentia; Cricetidae
Rfam family: tRNA
About the family: Transfer RNA (tRNA) molecules are approximately 80 nucleotides in length. Their secondary structure includes four short double-helical elements and three loops (D, anti-codon, and T loops). Further hydrogen bonds mediate the characteristic L-shaped molecular structure. tRNAs have two regions of fundamental functional importance: the anti-codon, which is responsible for specific mRNA codon recognition, and the 3' end, to which the tRNAs corresponding amino acid is attached (by aminoacyl-tRNA synthetases). tRNAs cope with the degeneracy of the genetic code in two manners: having more than one tRNA (with a specific anti-codon) for a particular amino acid; and 'wobble' base-pairing, i.e. permitting non-standard base-pairing at the 3rd anti-codon position.
Source: Rfam by way of RNAcentral
GCCUGGCUAGCUCAGUUGGUAGAGCAUGACACUCUUAAUCUCAGGGUUGUGGAUUCAAGCCCCAUGUUGGAUG